This 216-nucleotide ribosomal RNA is filed under the name uncultured bacterium. Its description in RNAcentral is "partial 16S ribosomal RNA". It matches the Rfam family "Bacterial small subunit ribosomal RNA", at positions 1285 to 1500 of the family's 1533-position model. The record is from RNAcentral.
GUCCCAGUUCGGACUGCAGUCUGCAACUCGACUGCACGAAGCUGGAAUCGCUAGUAAUCGCGAAUCAGAAUGUCGCGGUGAAUACGUUCCCGGGUCUUGUACACACCGCCCGUCACACCAUGGGAGUCGGUAACGCCCGAAGUCAGUGACCCAACCGCAAGGAGGGAGCUGCCGAAGGCGGGACUGGUAACUGGGGUGAAGUCGUAACAAGGUACC